GUGAAGCAAAAAUCACGUGCUUACAAUAAUUACAAUUUAUAUCUUUUGUGUAAGCUUAUAAUGUUUUGUUUAUUAGCUAUGAAUUAGUUUCAAAUGACUAGUGUUUCAAUUGAUUAUUUAACAUUGUAUUUUAUAGAAACCUAGGGUUUAAGUUGUAUUUAUCAUUAUUUAACAUUUUAUAAAAAUCUAGGAUUUAUAGAAAUCUAGGAUAUAAAUCGAAACUUUUAGGAUAUGAGUUGAAUUUUUAGAAUAUGAAUUGAAACUUUUAGGAUAUGAGUUGAAUUUUUAGGAUAUAAAUAGAAAUUUUAGGAUAUGACUUGAACUUUUGUGGAUAUGAAUUGAACCUUUAGGAUAUAAAUUGAACAUUUAGUUUAUGUUUAAACGCGUAGGAUAAGAAUUGAUGAACUUUUAGUUUUUAGGUUUUGUUCUUGUGAAUUGAACUUGUACGAUAUAAAUUGAAGCUUUUAUGUACGACUUGAACUUUUUACGAUAUGAGUUGAAACUUUUAGGAUAUGAGUUGAACUUUUAGGAAAUAAAUUGAACCUUUAGGAUAUGUAUUGAGCCUUUAGGAUAUGACUUGAAGUUUUAGUUUAUGUUUAAACUCGUAAGAUAUGAAUAUAACUUUUAGUUUUUAGGUUUUGUUCUUGUGAAUUGAACUUGUAGGAUAUAAAUUGAAGCUUUUAUGUAUGACUUGAACUUUUUAGGAUAUGAGUUGAACUUUUAGGAAAUAAAUUGAACCUUUAGCAUAUGUAUUGAACCUUUAGGAUAUGACUUGAACUUUUAGUUUAUGUUUAAACUCGUAGGAUAUGAAUAUAACUUUUAGUUUUUAGGUUUUGUUCUUGUAAAUUGAACUUGUAG
RNAcentral lists this long non-coding RNA (858 nucleotides) under Nicotiana tabacum (common tobacco). RNAcentral's name for it is "long non-coding RNA (NTAB_LNC012461)". Lineage: Eukaryota; Viridiplantae; Streptophyta; Magnoliopsida; Solanales; Solanaceae. The record is from RNAcentral.